UACGGAGGGUGCAAGCGUUAUCCGGAUUCACUGGGUUUAAAGGGUGCGUAGGUGGGCAAGUAAGUCAGUGGUGAAAUCUCCGGGCUUAACCCGGAAACUGCCAUUGAUACUAUUUGUCUUGAAUACUGUGGAGGUCAGCGGAAUAUGUCAUGUAGCGGUGAAAUGCUUAGAUAUUGGGAAGAACACCAGCGGCGAAAGCGCGCUACUGGGCCAUUACUGACACUCAUGGACGAAAGCUAGGGGAGCGAAAGGG
Molecule: ribosomal RNA, 253 nt
Filed under: uncultured bacterium
Lineage: Bacteria
Description: partial 16S ribosomal RNA
Rfam family: Bacterial small subunit ribosomal RNA
Source: RNAcentral